AUACGUAGGUCCCGAGCGUUGUCCGGAUUUAUUGGGCGUAAAGCGAGCGCAGGUGGUUUAUUAAGUCUGGUGUAAAAGGCAGUGGCUCAACCAUUGUAUGCAUUGGAAACUGGUAGACUUGAGUGCAGGAGAGGAGAGUGGAAUUCCAAAAUGUGUAGCGGUGAAAUGCGUAGAUAUAUGGAGGAACACCGGUGGCGAAAGCGGCUCUCUGGCCUGUAACUGACACUGAGGCUCGAAAGCGUGGGGAGC
This 249-nucleotide ribosomal RNA is filed under the name uncultured bacterium. Its description in RNAcentral is "partial 16S ribosomal RNA". It matches the Rfam family "Bacterial small subunit ribosomal RNA", at positions 523 to 769 of the family's 1533-position model. The record is from RNAcentral.